Pan troglodytes (chimpanzee) is the source of this 291-nucleotide non-coding RNA. It matches the Rfam family "Metazoan signal recognition particle RNA". From Rfam's summary of the family: The signal recognition particle (SRP) is a universally conserved ribonucleoprotein. It is involved in the co-translational targeting of proteins to membranes. The record is from Rfam. NCBI's taxonomy places the organism in Eukaryota, Metazoa, Chordata, Mammalia, Primates, Hominidae.
GCCGGGCAUGCUGCCGCGUGCCUGUAGUCCCAGCUACUCGGGAGGCUGAGGCAGGAGAAUGGUGUGAACCCGGGAGGUGGAGGUUGCAGUAAGCCAAGAGCACGCCACUGCAUUCCAGCAUGGCGACAGAGCAAGACUCCAUCUUAAAAUAAACAAAUGAACAAUAUAUAUAUAUGUAUUUUUUUUUUUUGAGACAGAGUCUCGCUCUGUCAUCCAGGCUGGACUGCAGUGGUGCAAUCUUGGCUCACUGCAACCUCCGCCUCCCGGGUUCAAGCGAUUCCCCUGCCUCAG